RNA transcript from Nomascus leucogenys (northern white-cheeked gibbon), 620 nucleotides. It is a transcript of the gene named myosin light polypeptide 6-like, with no coding region annotated. NCBI's taxonomy places the organism in Eukaryota, Metazoa, Chordata, Mammalia, Primates, Hylobatidae. The transcript has a single exon. The record is from RefSeq and is a predicted model, not a curated record.
UCAAGAUGUGUGGCUUCACCGAGGACCACACUGCAGAGUUCAAGGAGGCCUUCCAGCUGUUUGACUGAACAGGUGAUGGCAAGAUCCUGUACAGCCAGCGUGGGGACGUGAUGAGGGACCUGGGCCAGAAAUUCACCAACAUUGAGGUGCCCAAAGUCCUGGGGAACUCCACGAGUGAUGAAAUGAAUGUGAAGGUGCUGAACUUUGAGCACUUUCUGCCCAUGCUGCAGAUGGUGGUGGCCAAAAACAAGGACCAGGGCACCUAUGAGGAUUAUGUCAAAGGACUUCAGUGUUUGACAAGGAAGGAAAUGGCACUGUCAUGGGUGCUGAAAUCUGGCAUGUUCUUGUCACACUGGGUGAGAAGAUGACAGAGGAAGAAGUAGAGAUGCUAGGGGCAGGGCACAAGGACAACAAUGGUUGUAUUAACUAUGAAGAGCUCAUCCGCAUGGUGCCGAAUGGCUGAGGACCUUCCCAGUCUCCCCAGAGCCCAUGCUUUUCCCUGUUUUGGAUUUUUUAUCUGUCCUGAAGGCUCCCUAGACUCUCUGGUCAUAGCACCUUUCCCAUCUUUUGUCUCUUGGAUGAUUUUUGCCGUCAGCAUUCACCAAAUAAACUUGCUGUCU